GCAGACUGUUGGAUGUCUGUUUAAGGUGGUAGGUGGAAGACUUAGGCAAAUCCGGGUCUUUAUAAACACUGAGAGCUGAUGACGAGGUCUUAAGGGACUGAAGUAACUGAUACCCUGCUUCCAGGAAAAGCCACUAAGCUUCAGGUUUAUCUAAACCGUACUGAAAACCGACACAGGUGGUCAGGUAGAGAAUACUCAGGCGCUUGAGAGAACUCGGGUGAAGGAACUAGGCAAAAUAGCACCGUAACUUCGGGAGAAGGUGCGCUUACAGUAAUUGUAGUCCCUUGCGGAUGAAGGUGAAGUAAGUCGAAGAUACCAGCUGGCUGCAACUGUUUAUUAAAAACACAGCACUCUGCAAACACGAAAGUGGACGUAUAGGGUGUGAUGCCUGCCCGGUGCUGGAAGGUUAAUUGAUGGUGUUAUCGAAAGAGAAGCUCCUGAUCGAAGCCCCAGUAAACGGCGGCCGUAACUAUAACGGUCCUAAGGUAGCGAAAUUCCUUGUCGGGUAAGUUCCGACCUGCACGAAUGGCAUAAUGAUGGCCAGGCUGUCUCCACCCGAGACUCAGUGAAAUUGAAAUCGCCGUGAAGAUGCGGUGUACCCGCGGCUAGACGGAAAGACCCCGUGAACCUUUACUAUAGCUUGACACUGAACAUUGAAUUUUGAUGUGUAGGAUAGGUGGGAGCCUUUGAAGCAGUGACGCCAGUCAUUGUGGAGGCGACCUUGAAAUACCACCCUUUAACGUUUGAUGUUCUAACGAAGUGCCUGAAACGGGUACUCGGACAGUGUCUGGUGGGUAGUUUGACUGGGGCGGUCUCCUCCCAAAGCGUAACGGAGGAGCACGAAGGUUUGCUAAUGACGGUCGGACAUCGUCAGGUUAGUGCAAUGGUAUAAGCAAGCUUAACUGCGAGACAGACAAGUCGAGCAGGUGCGAAAGCAGGUCAUAGUGAUCCGGUGGUUCUGAAUGGAAGGGCCAUCGCUCAACGGAUAAAAGGUACUCCGGGGAUAACAGGCUGAUACCGCCCAAGAGUUCAUAUCGACGGCGGUGUUUGGCACCUCGAUGUCGGCUCAUCACAUCCUGGGGCUGAAGUAGGUCCCAAGGGUAUGGCUGUUCGCCAUUUAAAGUGGUACGCGAGCUGGGUUUAGAACGUCGUGAGACAGUUCGGUCCCUAUCUGCCGUGGGCGUUGGAUGAUUGAUUGGGGCUGCUCCUAGUACGAGAGGACCGGAGUGGACGCAUCACUGGUGUUCCAGUUGUCUCGCCAGAGGCAUUGCUGGGUAGCUAAAUGCGGAAGAGAUAAGUGCUGAAAGCAUCUAAGCACGAAACUUGCCAAGAGAUGAGUCAUCCCUGACUUUAAGUCAGUAAGGGUUGUUGUAGACUACGACGUAGAUAGGUUGGGUGUGUAAGUGUAGUGAUACAUUGAGCUAACCAAUACUAAUUGCCCGAGAGGCUUAACUAU
Molecule: ribosomal RNA, 1456 nt
Filed under: Pasteurella multocida
Lineage: Bacteria; Pseudomonadati; Pseudomonadota; Gammaproteobacteria; Pasteurellales; Pasteurellaceae
Description: partial 23S ribosomal RNA
Rfam family: Bacterial large subunit ribosomal RNA
Source: RNAcentral